Molecule: ribosomal RNA, 301 nt
Filed under: uncultured bacterium
Lineage: Bacteria
Description: partial 16S ribosomal RNA
Rfam family: Bacterial small subunit ribosomal RNA
Source: RNAcentral
CAGCCGCCGCGGUAAUGCGAAGGGGGCUAGCGUUGCUCGGAAUUACUGGGCGUAAAGGGAGCGUAGGCGGACAUUUAAGUCAGGGGUGAAAUCCCGGGGCUCAACCUCGGAAUUGCCUUUGAUACUGGGUGUCUUGAGUAUGAGAGAGGUAUGUGGAACUCCGAGUGUAGAGGUGAAAUUCGUAGAUAUUCGGAAGAACACCAGUGGCGAAGGCGACAUACUGGCUCAUUACUGACGCUGAGGCUCGAAAGCGUGGGGAGCAAACAGGAUUAGAUACCCCCGUAGUCCCUGUCUCUUAUAC